CCGGUGACGUAUCCUUCAAAUGUCUGACUUAUCAGCUGUGGAUGGUAGACUCUGUGUCUACCAUGGCGCUCACGGGUGACGGGGAAUCAGGGUUCGAUUCCGGAGAAGGAGCCUGAAAGCCGGCUACCACAUCCAAGGAAGGCAGCAGGCACGCAAAUUACCCACUCCCGGCACGGGGAGGUAGUGACAAAAAAUACCGAUACGGGACUCAUCCGAGGCCCCGUAAUCGGAAUGAGAACACUCUAAUCCUUUAGCGAUGAUCCAUUGGAGGGAAAGUCUGGUGCCAGCAGCCGCGGUAACUCCAGCUCCAAUAGCGUAUAUUAAAGUUGUUGCGGUUAAAAAGCUCGUAGUUGGUUCUGCGUGCCGCGCUGUCGGUUCACCGCCUGCCGGUGCAACUGGCAUGCCGCGGCAUGUCCUGUCGGUGGCGGAUAGGCUUCGGGCCGCCUCCUCAUGCGGUCCUCCGUGUGGGGUUGCGCGGCUCUGUUGUCCUUAUACGCCGGCUCAAUCCUACCGCGGUGCUCUUUACCGAGUGUCGAGGUAGGCCGACACUGUUUACUUUGAACAAAUUAGAGUGCUUCAUGCAGGCUCAAUAUACAGCCUGAAUAGUGGUGCAUGGAAUAAUGGAAAAGGACCUUGGUUCUAUUUUGUUGGUUUCCUGAAUCCAAGGUAAUGAUCAAUAAGGACAGGCGGGGGCAUUCAUAUUGCGGCGUUAGAGGUGAAAUUCUUGGAUCGUCGCAAGACGCACUAAAGCGAAAGCAUUUGCCAAGUAUGUCUUAAUUGAUC
RNAcentral lists this ribosomal RNA (783 nucleotides) under Cymus tumescens. Its description in RNAcentral is "bacterial SSU rRNA". It matches the Rfam family "Eukaryotic small subunit ribosomal RNA", at positions 284 to 978 of the family's 1831-position model. Lineage: Eukaryota; Metazoa; Arthropoda; Insecta; Hemiptera; Cymidae. The record is from RNAcentral.